RNAcentral lists this ribosomal RNA (165 nucleotides) under uncultured bacterium. Its description in RNAcentral is "partial 16S rRNA". It matches the Rfam family "Bacterial small subunit ribosomal RNA", at positions 355 to 511 of the family's 1533-position model. The record is from RNAcentral.
UAGGGAAUCAUCGGCAAUGGGGGCAACCCUGACCGAGCAACGCCGCGUGAGUGAAGAAGGUUUUCGGAUCGUAAAGCUCUGUUGUAAGAGAAGAACGUGUGUGAGAGUGGAAAGUUCACACAGUGACGGUAACUUACCAGAAAGGGACGGCUAACUACGUGCCAG